CCUUUAACAUAAAAUAAAGAACAAGUGACUAACUUCUUCUUGGACAAGGAUCCUAAAUGAAUCGCACAUGCUUUAAGGAUUUCAUGGAAUUAGGAGACACACAGAUGGAUAUAUCAAGAGAAAUACGGGUAAGCGACGAGUUACUUUGUUCCUCAACAAAAUUAGUUUUGAUUUUCAGAAAAAUCCCAUGCUGAGGGUUGAACCUCGCUAGAUGAUCUUAUAGAUCACCCAUCCCAUCUUUUAGGUUCUAUUUGGGCAGUUACUAAUUCAUGAUCUAAUAUGUACAUAAUGAAAAAUUCAUUCUCAAUUCUACAAGAAUUUUUAUGAAAGUCUUUCAUUUGCUCCUUUUUUUUUUAUGAAAGUUUGAUUUUCUCAUAAUAUCUUAAUUUUUG
RNAcentral lists this long non-coding RNA (392 nucleotides) under Solanum tuberosum (potato). RNAcentral describes it as "long non-coding RNA (STUB_LNC004393)". The record is from RNAcentral. Lineage: Eukaryota; Viridiplantae; Streptophyta; Magnoliopsida; Solanales; Solanaceae.